Molecule: ribosomal RNA, 739 nt
Filed under: uncultured bacterium
Lineage: Bacteria
Description: bacterial SSU rRNA
Rfam family: Bacterial small subunit ribosomal RNA
Source: RNAcentral
AGAGUUUGAUCAUGGCUCAGAACGAACGCUGGCGGCAGGCCUAACACAUGCAAGUCGAGCGCCCCGCAAGGGGAGCGGCGCACGGGAUAAUAACGCGUGGGAACCUACCUUAUGGUUCGGAAUAACAUCGGGAAACUGGUGCUAAUACCGGAUAAGCCCUUCGGGGGAAAGAUUUAUUGCCAUUAGAUGGGCCCGCGUUAGAUUAGCUAGUUGGUGAGGUAACGGCUCACCAAGGCAACGAUCUAUAGCUGGUCUGAGAGGAUGAUCAGCAUCACUGGGACUGAGACACGGCCCAGACUCCUACGGGAGGCAGCAGUGGGGAAUAUUGGACAAUGGGGGAAACCCUGAUCCAGCCAUGCCGCGUGAAUGAUGAAGGCCUUCGGGUUGUAAAGUUCUUUUGACGGGGACGAUGAUGACGGUACCCGUAGAAUAAGCUCCGGCUAACUUCGUGCCAGCAGCCGCGGUAAUACGAAGGGAGCUAGCGUUGUUCGGAUUUACUGGGCGUAAAGGGCGCGUAGGCGGUUUAGUAAGUUGGAUGUGAAAGCCCUGGGCUCAACCCGGGAAUUGCAUUCAAAACUACUUGACUUGAAUUCGGUAGAGGUUGGUAGAAUUCCCAGUGUAGAGGUGAAAUUCGUAGAGAUUGGGAAGAAUACCCGUGGCGAAGGCGGCCNCUGGACCGACAUUGACGCUGAGGCGCGAAAGCGUGGGUAGCAAACAGGAUUAGAUACCCUAGUAGUCC